UUGUCUCAGAUGCUGGAUGCCCUCUGAGAGCAGUCACGCUGUCACGUGCAUACACGGGAGCUACGCCAAAACUUCGGGGAGGAUUAGAGGAGGCCUGGUCCAGAAACACACUGCUUUCAGAAAUGCAGGGUGAGUCGGAGAUGCCAGAAAAGAGGCGAAACGCGGGAUGAUGGGACGGUGGGAUGAUGGGAAGGCGGCCCAGACAGGGGCAUCCAGGAGAGAGGAGAAAGAACAGGGGAUGUAGAGUGGUUUGGUACUGCAGAUGGGGGGACAGGUGUGGGAAGACAGGAAACUGACGGGUGAUCAAGUCACACCGUAAGAGGCCACAGAGGACCUGCAGCCAGGGCAGGUUCUUUGGCCCACCUCCGAGGAGCUGGAGCAGAAGCCCCUGCGCGGACCUGGCCCGGCAGCAGCCGGCGUGGGCGCAGAGGGGAACGGAGAGGGUCAGGUCAGGAGGACGCAGCAGCCGCCGGGGGAGAGGAGGAGGCUGCGGACGUGCAAGGCCGCGGGAAGGGGGCCAGACACAGCCGGCAGUCAGAAGCAAGCCCCGGCCUCGGGGACAAGGUUUCUAAACAGAAUCGAGGAGGAAGUGUACCCACCCAAGGACGUCAUCACCAGCAAGGACCCAGGAUGCGAGGCCUGCUUGGGGUCUGGCUGUAGAGUUCAGUGACAAGUUCCUGAGGCCACGAGGCAGCCAGUUAGCAAGGUAUGUAGGCUUAUGUAAGAGAGAAUGAUGCUGAGAUUCUUAAGGAACUGAUCCCACACUUGUUGGAGCUGGCAUCUCUGAAACCCACAGGGUGGACUGGCAGGCUGGAGACCAGAAGAGAGUUGAUACUGCAGCGAGAGCCUGGAGAUAGAAUUUCCUCUUGAGGAGAGCUUCCAUCUUUGCUUUCAAGGCUUUUUACAGAUUGGAUGAGGCUCACCUACAUGAUGCAGGAUCAAAGGCUACUGAUUUGAUUGUUAAUCUCACUUAAAAAAUAACCUUCGAAACAACAUCUAGACUGGUGUUUCACCAAAUAAUAGCCUACCCAUUGACACAUCAGAUUUACCACAACAGUGGUGAAGUUUGAAGAAAUGGACAUCUGCGUUAGGAGGGAGUGGAAUGGAGGAGAGAGAGAGAGAGAAUGGUGCGGAAGCAGCAAUGGGGAACAAAGAAAGCGCCUACCCUUGGCCGGCCUGAUUCACCCUGGGGUAAUUCGCUACUUCCUUAAUGUUAUGCUUACAUCUAGGUGUGCUUAUAUGUAGAUGUCCUGCAAAGCCUUAUGCACUCAUAGGUGGGGCUUUUCGGAGCUGGUUGGAUCUAGGGUGUGUGAUGCUGAGAUUAGGGGU
Chinchilla lanigera (long-tailed chinchilla) is the source of this 1329-nucleotide long non-coding RNA. RefSeq lists it as uncharacterized. The record is from RefSeq and is a predicted model, not a curated record. The transcript has 3 exons. NCBI's taxonomy places the organism in Eukaryota, Metazoa, Chordata, Mammalia, Rodentia, Chinchillidae.